RNAcentral lists this ribosomal RNA (492 nucleotides) under uncultured bacterium. RNAcentral's name for it is "partial 16S ribosomal RNA". It matches the Rfam family "Bacterial small subunit ribosomal RNA", at positions 29 to 507 of the family's 1533-position model. The record is from RNAcentral.
AGUGAACGCUGGCGGUAUGCCUAACACAUGCAAGUCGAACGGCAGCACAGUAAGAGCUUGCUCUUACGGGUGGCGAGUGGCGGACGGGUGAGGAAUACAUCGGAAUCUACUUUUUCAUGGGGGAUAACGUAGGGAAACUUACGCUAAUACCGCAUACGACCUACGGGUGAAAGCAGGGGAUCUUCGGACCUUGCGCGAUUGAAUGAGCCGAUGUCGGAUUAGCUAGUUGGCGGGGUAAAGGCCCACCAAGGCGACGAUCCGUAGCUGGUCUGAGAGGAUGAUCAGCCACACUGGAACUGAGACACGGUCCAGACUCCUACGGGAGGCAGCAGUGGGGAAUAUUGGACAAUGGGCGCAAGCCUGAUCCAGCCAUACCGCGUGGGUGAAGAAGGCCUUCGGGUUGUAAAGCCCUUUUGUUGGGAAAGAAAAGCAGCAGGUUAAUACCACGCUGUUCUGACGGUACCCAAAGAAUAAGCACCGGCUAACUUCGUG